GACGAACGCUGGCGGCGUGCCUAAUACAUGCAAGUAGAACGCACAGUUUAUACCGUAGCUUGCUACACCAUAGACUGUGAGUUGCGAACGGGUGAGUAACGCGUAGGUAACCUGCCUGGUAGCGGGGGAUAACUAUUGGAAACGAUAGCUAAUACCGCAUAAUAUUAAUUAUUGCAUGAUAAUUAAUUGAAAGGUGCAAUUGCACCACUACCAGAUGGACCUGCGUUGUAUUAGCUAGUAGGUGAGGUAACGGCUCACCUAGGCGACGAUACAUAGCCGACCUGAGAGGGUGAUCGGCCACACUGGGACUGAGACACGGCCCAGACUCCUACGGGAGGCGGCAGUAGGGAAUCUUCGGCAAUGGACGAAAGUCUGACCGAGCAACGCCGCGUGAGUGAAGAAGGUUUUCGGAUCGUAAAGCUCUGUUGUAAGAGAAGAACGGGUGUGAGAGUGGAAAGUUCACACUGUGACGGUAUCUUACCAGAAAGGGGCGGCUAACUACGUG
This 505-nucleotide ribosomal RNA is filed under the name uncultured bacterium. RNAcentral describes it as "partial 16S ribosomal RNA". It matches the Rfam family "Bacterial small subunit ribosomal RNA", at positions 28 to 507 of the family's 1533-position model. The record is from RNAcentral.